CCUACGGGGGGCUCCGUGGGGAAUAUUGCACAAUGGGCGCAAGCCUGAUGCAGCCAUGCCGCGUGUGUGAAGAAGGCCUUCGGGUUGUAAAGCACUUUCAGCGGGGAGGAAGGCGUUAAGGUUAAUAACCUUGGCGAUUGACGUUACCCGCAGAAGAAGCACCGGCUAACUCCGUGCCAGCAGACGCGGUAAUACGGAGGGUGCAAGCGUUAAUCGGAAUUACUGGGCGUAAAGCGCACGCAGGCGGUCUGUCAAGUCGGAUGUGAAAUCCCCGGGCCCAACCUGGGAACUGCAUUCGAAACUGGCAGGCUAGAGUCUUGUAGAGGGGGGUAGAAUUCCAGGUGUAGCGGUGAAAUGCGUAGAGAUCUGGAGGAAUACCGGUGGCGAAGGCGGCCCCCUGGACAAAGACUGACGCUCAGGUGCGAAAGCGUGGGGAGCAAACAGGAUUAGAUACCCUAGUAGUC
Molecule: ribosomal RNA, 464 nt
Filed under: uncultured Klebsiella sp.
Lineage: Bacteria; Pseudomonadati; Pseudomonadota; Gammaproteobacteria; Enterobacterales; Enterobacteriaceae
Description: bacterial SSU rRNA
Rfam family: Bacterial small subunit ribosomal RNA
Source: RNAcentral